ACUCAUUUAAUAUAUAUAGUAUAUUUAACUUCCAAUUAAAAAGAUCCUUAAUAGAAAAGAGUA
This 63-nucleotide transfer RNA is filed under the name Hypselosoma matsumurae. Its description in RNAcentral is "tRNA-Gly". Lineage: Eukaryota; Metazoa; Arthropoda; Insecta; Hemiptera; Schizopteridae. The record is from RNAcentral.